Small nucleolar RNA from Ornithorhynchus anatinus (platypus), 135 nucleotides. NCBI's taxonomy places the organism in Eukaryota, Metazoa, Chordata, Mammalia, Monotremata, Ornithorhynchidae. The record is from RefSeq and is a predicted model, not a curated record.
ACCCUCUCAGGGUUGCACCUGGAGACUUUCCAAUACUCUACCAGUCUCGACUACAGGAGGGAGACUACAGAGACAUACCCGUUCCAUUCCUAGCUUGGGCAGUGGCUAGUGAGUGGAAGGCAAUCUGCCACAAGU